AGCUAACCACUCUGGAUGGAAGCGGGAGAUUGAAAGAGCUGGGAAGCAGUGGCCGAAGGUAUGGCUGGUGAUUGGGAUG
This 79-nucleotide ribosomal RNA is filed under the name uncultured bacterium. RNAcentral describes it as "partial 16S ribosomal RNA". The record is from RNAcentral.